CAACGCACUCCACUUCAUGCUGCGGGUGGGUGAAAGAAAGGAGAAUCCCGCUUUGUUCAGCGGUGCGGCAGUGUGGAGACCUGCCGUAAAGUCCGGAAGAUCCGACUGCUUCCGGGCGAGACGGGGACGCGGAGGCGGAACCGCCAUGAACAAGAUCGAUGGCA
Molecule: non-coding RNA, 164 nt
Filed under: bovine gut metagenome
Description: malK-I RNA
Rfam family: malK-I RNA
Source: RNAcentral